UGAAAACAAGUAGCCUGUGGAAAACCAAAUAACAUCUGUCAAUUCGAGCUAGCCUUUUGGGGCUUCUACUGAUUUCAUUCGUUUCCCACAUUUCGACCUUAAAACAUCUAAAUUUGUUGUCCAGUUUCAAAUUAUUUCUUUGUUCGGUUGUCUAACGAAUUAAUCAUGUGUUGCGGACCUUGUGGAUCUUGCUGCGGACCCUGCGGACCUUGCUGCGGACCCUGCGGACCUUGCUGUGGUCCUUGCUGCGGACCCUGUGGUCCUUGCUGCGGACCCUGUGGUCCUUGCUGUGGACCUUGUGGGCCUUGCUGCGGACCCUGUGGACCUUGCUGCGGACCCUGUGGUGGCUGCUUCUUUUGUUAGAAGCAUUUCAAAUUUUCACUUCAGAGAAGUCGUAAAAUUAUGUAAAAUUGAAAAGGGCCUUUAAGCUGUUAAAAGCGAUAAAGGCAUCCUUCAAAGUCAUCUAAAUCCAUCAUACAUAUAUACGUAAACCGUACAAAUGAAAUUGAAGCAAGUCAACAAUAAAAAAAAUUAGAUUGGGAUUUUAAUUUGUUUUAUUUAAGGGACUAGCUCAUAGCGUUUGCACAUUGUCAGUAACUUUUAGUAUUCAUAUAGAAGUAAUAUGAAUAUUAUACUCGAAACUGUAGUCUUCUGUUUAAGAGUAAUAUGAAUAUUUUAAUCGGUUACCAAAGCUAUCUGACCCGUGCUAUUACACAUUGGCUAUAACCAUUGGCUAUUUUUUCAGUCUACCAUUUUAUGCAAAUAAUUUUCAAUACAUUUUGUCAACGUUUUGAUCGAUAUAUCUUGAUUAACCGAUUUAUGAUUAGCUUAUGCGGAGGUUAAAAAAUGAAUUUAUGAAAACAAGUAGUCUGUGGAACCCAAAUACCAUCUGUCAAAUCGAGCUAGUCCUUUGGGGCUUCUACUGACUUUAUUCGUUUCCCACAUUUCGACCUUAAAACAUCUAAAUUUGUUGUCCAGUUUCAAAUUAUUUCUUUGUUCGGUUUUCUAACGAAUCAAUCAUGUGUUGCGGACCUUGUGGACCUUGCUGCGGACCCUGCGGACCUUGCUGUGGACCCUGUGGUCCUUGCUGCGGACCUUGUGGGCCUUGCUGCGGACCGUGUGGUCCUUGCUGCGGACCCUGCCUAGGACCAAACACCUGCGGUCCUUGCUUUGCGUGCGGACCCUGUGGUGGCUGCUUCCCUUGUUAGAAGCAUUUAAAAUUCUUCCACUUGGAAGAAAUCGUAAAAUCAUGUAAAAUUAAGAAGGACCUAUAGGCUGUAAAAAGCGGCACAAUGGCAUCCUUCAAAGUCAUCUAAAUCCAUCAUGCAUAUAUACGUAAACCGUACAAAUGAAAUUGAAGCAAGUCAGCAAUAAAAAAAAUUAGAUUGGGA
Long non-coding RNA from Drosophila ananassae, 1391 nucleotides. RefSeq lists it as uncharacterized. The transcript has 3 exons. NCBI's taxonomy places the organism in Eukaryota, Metazoa, Arthropoda, Insecta, Diptera, Drosophilidae. The record is from RefSeq and is a predicted model, not a curated record.